AUUGAACGCUGGCGGCAUGCCUUACACAUGCAAGUCGAACGGCAGCGCGGGAGCAAUCCUGGUGGCGAGUGGCGAACGGGUGAGUAAUAUAUCGGAACGUGCCCGGUCGUGGGGAUAACGUAGCGAAAGCUACGCUAAUACCGCAUACGAUCUACGGAUGAAAGCGGGGGAUCGCAAGACCUCGCGCGAUUGGAGCGGCCGAUAUCAGAUUAGGUAGUUGGUGAGGUAAAGGCUCACCAAGCCGACGAUCUGUAGCUGGUCUGAGAGGACGACCAGCCACACUGGGACUGAGACACAGCCCAGACUCCUACGGGAGGCAGCAGUGGGGAAUUUUGGACAAUGGGCGCAAGCCUGAUCCAGCAAUGCCGCGUGCAGGAUGAAGGCCUUCGGUUGUAAC
RNAcentral lists this ribosomal RNA (397 nucleotides) under uncultured bacterium. Its description in RNAcentral is "bacterial SSU rRNA". It matches the Rfam family "Bacterial small subunit ribosomal RNA", at positions 30 to 429 of the family's 1533-position model. The record is from RNAcentral.